RNAcentral lists this ribosomal RNA (465 nucleotides) under Vreelandella stevensii. RNAcentral's name for it is "partial 16S ribosomal RNA". It matches the Rfam family "Bacterial small subunit ribosomal RNA", at positions 338 to 795 of the family's 1533-position model. Lineage: Bacteria; Pseudomonadati; Pseudomonadota; Gammaproteobacteria; Oceanospirillales; Halomonadaceae. The record is from RNAcentral.
CCUACGGGCGGCAGCAAUGGGGAAUAUUGGACAAUGGGCGAAAGCCUGAUCCAGCCAUGCCGCGUGUGUGAAGAAGGCCUUCGGGUUGUAAAGCACUUUCAGUGGGGAAGAAAGCCUUGGGGCUAAUACCCUCGAGGAAGGACAUCACCCACAGAAGAAGCACCGGCUAACUCCGUGCCAGCAGCCGCGGUAAUACGGAGGGUGCGAGCGUUAAUCGGAAUUACUGGGCGUAAAGCGCGCGUAGGCGGUCUGAUAAGCCGGUUGUGAAAGCCCCGGGCUCAACCUGGGAACGGCAUCCGGAACUGUCAGGCUAGAGUGCAGGAGAGGAAGGUAGAAUUCCCGGUGUAGCGGUGAAAUGCGUAGAGAUCGGGAGGAAUACCAGUGGCGAAGGCGGCCUUCUGGACUGACACUGACGCUGAGGUGCGAAAGCGUGGGUAGCAAACAGGAUUAGAUACCCUGGUAGUC